GCACAGAUUUAGUAACUUCCUGUGGAGAUAAAAAAGUGAAAUAUAAUUUUCCCCAUUUUCCCCAAAACAUCUUAAAUCUGCUGUCAGAUGUAUUUUACCCACUUCUACCUUAAUGCUAUGUCUUUUCAAUAAUGAAAGCAAGGGGUGGUUAAUUACUAGAAAUAGUGAGAAUCAUUCAGUUGUCAUGAAUCUUCGUGCUGUUAAAGAACUUCAACAAUAUUUUUAUAUCUUUUAUCCAUGACUCCCUACUUGCACUUCAUAUUGCUAAUUGAAUUUCAAUUCUGCAUAAAUAUUCUUUAAAAUAAUGGGGAAAUUCCACCCUUUAAACAUCUUGAAUCACUCUUACAAUAUACAAAAGGGAGUUAAAGCAUAUUAAAACUUAAUCCUCAUUAAGUGAUUCUGAUGUUCCCUUGGGGAACUUGGAACAAUUGAUGUGGAAUAAUCAGACAGUGUGAGUUACCAUAACACUGAACCAAUUCAGUAAUGAAAAGUGGCCUGUCAUUUUAUUUUGAUAUUUUUUUAAUCUACCCUCAAGACAAGCACUUAAUUUUUCAUAAAAUGUAAUUUACUGGGCAGAUUCUUUUCUCUUUCCUGCAGAGUAGUGAAUUUGUCUUUCAGAAGCAAUGGAAAGAAAUGAAGAAAAAAAAUGAUAAUAUUAUCCCGUAGUCUCAGCUGUUUCCCUAUGUCCUAACGCAAAGAGUAGAUGGGACGUAACUGAAGCUCGUGCAAUGUCACUGAAAUCCUAUUUUUUGCUGAUCUUAAAAGUGAUGUCUGACUAAACAAGAGCCAAGAGGAUUAAAAGGAACUGACGAAUGAGGAACAAACAUCUAAAACCCAGGAACAAGCCCAGAUAAAAAAUCCCAUGAUGUCUGAUUGCAGGGACAUACAGACAUGCGAAGAUCCAGAUAUUUGCUACUUACAGGUUUUACAUCAUGUGUAGAAGGGCUCUCAGGCUCGCCCUAAGUCUUAAACAACAUGAAGACACACAACAACAGGCAAAAACAGACCUGCACUUCCCACUAAAUAUGGAAAAGACGUCAAAAGACGUACAGGAAUUCCCCACUUGUGAAAGAGCAAAACAACAACCUCGCAAACCUCAAGUAUUGUUUGCAGUCAGUGGCCGAUCCAACCAGGUCAAAAAUCCAACUCCCUUCAAGAGACAGAGGAGGAGAAGGAAAAGGAGGUUGACUGAGCAUAAAAAGAUUUUACAAUAUGGAGCUUCUUUGUGAGAGGCUUUGUUGAAUGAGAUGUGUCUGGAAAAGUCUUUGUUAUUCUUUCCUGUUAUAACAAGAGUUAAAGCAAGAAAAUUGAAGUUGAAGUGGAUUAGUUUUUAAAAUGACCCAGUUCAGUUUCAAAGCUUGCAUAAUAAGCUAAUAAAAUAUCAUGUAAGAAAUAAAGAUAAUUUGAGACAAAAGCCAAAGUAGAUAAAUGGUUGGUAAUUCAGUCAGAGGGAAAACAGAAGGGAAAUCUGUCUAGCAAAAAAAAAAAAAAACCUAUAAAGUAAUUCGUUAGUUAAACAGAGACUAUGAAACAGUCUCCAGCAUCACCCAAAAUUAUCUUUAACAGACAGCUUUCAAUAUGAGAAUUUAUUUCUUAAAGUAACUUUCUUAAAGUAACUUACAAAGUGCUUCAGUUUAUGUAUUCCCAAUAAAAUAAAUGUAUUAGUGAUGGAUGGUUUUAUGGCUGCAAUUUAUCAAGUUUUGGAGGCAUUCUUUGGUAUCCGUUUUGUCAGAUUGUUUAAUUAUUGCAGAAUGAACAAAUAAUUCCAAAGCCAAGACCAUUUUGAUGGUGAUAGAUGGGAAAGACCUGGCCAGCCCAUAUAUUUAGUGAUAAUAGUAUCUCUCUGGGUUUAUCUUGUGCAGGAAUUCAAUGAAUAAUGUCCAGUGAGCAAUUUAUAUUAAACAGAACAUGUUAAUAUUCUUACAAAUGUUUGUUAUUUUGAUGCUACUGUUUUCAAUGAGUUAAGUUUAUGGUAUUGGAGUACUUAAUAUUGGUAUUUAAUACAGGGAGAAAGUUUUAAAAUGGGAUGGGGGACUGCACUCCCUUAUUUAAUGGAGCUCCGGGUCCUUCCACACAGCCAUAUAACCCAGAAUAUCAAGGCAGAUAAUCCACAAUAUCUGCUUUGAACUAGGUUAUCUGAGCCCACAUUGCCAUAUAACCCAGUUCAAAGCAGAUAAUGUGGGAUUUUAUAUAGCUGUGUGGAAGGGGCUUCUAUGGAUCAUUGCUAUGGGAUCAUGGGCGCUACAAUAAGUGCUGGUGACUCACCAGACUAUAAAUCUUAGGCUUGUACAGCAUUGAGCCAUGGCAAUUAAAGUGGUGUCAAACUGCAUUAAUUCUACAGUGUAUAUGAAUCCUUAUGACACUGAAAUGGAAGGACCUAACCACAUUAGAGAUUCCUACAUGAACAGAAAAUUUGAACAGUCAAAUCUCUAAAAUUGCAAAAGUGUCUGUCCUGCACAGUUGUAUCUGUUUGAUGCCAUUUCAACCAGGAUCCAAAAGCUUGGAUCCU
This is a long non-coding RNA of Anolis carolinensis (green anole), 2509 nucleotides long. RefSeq lists it as uncharacterized. Lineage: Eukaryota; Metazoa; Chordata; Lepidosauria; Squamata; Anolidae. The transcript is spliced from 5 exons. The record is from RefSeq and is a predicted model, not a curated record.